RNAcentral lists this ribosomal RNA (511 nucleotides) under uncultured bacterium. Its description in RNAcentral is "bacterial SSU rRNA". It matches the Rfam family "Bacterial small subunit ribosomal RNA", at positions 15 to 518 of the family's 1533-position model. The record is from RNAcentral.
GAUUCUGGCUCAGGAUGAACGCUAGCGACAGGCUUAACACAUGCAAGUCGAGGGGCAGCAUAGAAGUAGCAAUACUUGGUGGCGACCGGCGCACGGGUGAGUAACGCGUAUGCAACCUACCUAUCAGAGGGGAAUAACCCGGCGAAAGUCGGACUAAUACCGCAUAAAACAGGGGCACCGCAUGGUGAUAUUUGUUAAAGAAAUUCGCUGAUAGAUGGGCAUGCGUUCCAUUAGGUAGUUGGUGAGGUAACGGCUCACCAAGCCGACGAUGGAUAGGGGAACUGAGAGGUUGGUCCCCCACACUGGUACUGAGACACGGACCAGACUCCUACGGGAGGCAGCAGUGAGGAAUAUUGGUCAAUGGGCGGGAGCCUGAACCAGCCAAGUCGCGUGAAAGGAAGAAGGAUCUAUGGUUCGUAAACUUCUUUUGCAGGGGAAUAAAGUGCAGGACGUGUCCUGUUUUGUAUGUACCCUGAGAAUAAGGAUCGGCUAACUCCGUGCCAGCCGCAGC